This 312-nucleotide ribosomal RNA is filed under the name uncultured bacterium. RNAcentral describes it as "bacterial SSU rRNA". It matches the Rfam family "Bacterial small subunit ribosomal RNA", at positions 28 to 334 of the family's 1533-position model. The record is from RNAcentral.
GACGAACGCUGGCGGCGUGCUUAACACAUGCAAGUCGAGCGGAGACAAUUGACUUCGGUUGGUUGUUUUAGCGGCGGACGGGUGAGUAACGCGUGAGCAAUCUGUCCCAGACAGGGGGAUAACACUUGGAAACAGGUGCUAAUACCGCAUAAGACCACGAGAUCACAUGGUUUCGGGGUAAAAAGGAGGAAUCCGGUUUGGGGUGAGCUCGCGUCCGAUUAGCUGGUUGGUGAGGUAACGGCCCACCAAGGCGACGAUCAGUAGCCGACCUGAGAGGGUGACCGGCCACAUUGGGACUGAGACACGGCCCAA